GACGAACGCUGGCGGCGUGCUUAACACAUGCAAGUCGAACGGAAAGGCCUCUUUCGGGGGGUACUCGAGUGGCGAACGGGUGAGUAACACGUGAGUAACCUGCCCUUGACUUUGGGAUAACUUCAGGAAACUGGGGCUAAUACCGGAUAGGAGCUCCUGCUGCAUGGUGGGGGUUGGAAAGUUUCGGCGGUUGGGGAUGGACUCGCGGCUUAUCAGCUUGUUGGUGGGGUAGUGGCUUACCAAGGCUUUGACGGGUAGCCGGCCUGAGAGGGUGACCGGCCACAUUGGGACUGAGAUACGACCCAGACUCCUACGGGAGGCAGCGGUGGGGAAUAUUGCACAAUGGGUGGAAGCCUGAUGCAGCAACGCCGUGUGCGGGAUGACGGCCUUCGGGUUGUAAACCGCUUUCGCUCAUGACGAAGCUUUGUGUGACGGUAGUGGGUAAAGAAGCACCGGCUAACUACGUG
This 467-nucleotide ribosomal RNA is filed under the name uncultured bacterium. RNAcentral describes it as "partial 16S ribosomal RNA". It matches the Rfam family "Bacterial small subunit ribosomal RNA", at positions 28 to 507 of the family's 1533-position model. The record is from RNAcentral.